UCGCCUGAUUCGGCACGUUAUUAUAUUGGUCGCUAUGUUUGGUUUCAGACGUCGGAUUGUCGGACACCGUGCCGACGUAACCGCUCACGGGGAAUCUCCGUUCCGGCGCACGUGGCUUAUUGGCGGCCGCGGUUUGCAACCGCAGCCAUCUGAGCGUGAAGCUCUCCUCUCCUCUCCCGCAUGCGGUCUGACGCAGCCUGAUCGACACUGACAGGUGGGCCAUGUGACGCUGCUGAUUGGGAACCACUGCUGCUUUGCUUGGGUCUGCUUUGCUUGGGUCUGCUUUGCUUUGCUCCUGUCUUGCUGUGCUUUGCUGCUGCUUUGCACUGAUUUGUGUACACCGCCAUUUGCCGUGUCUUGCCUCUGGGCUGUGGCUUUCCUGCCUUGCUUCUGCCGGUGUCAACUAUGCUGGCGUUGAUAGGAGGCUCCUGCAGCUAAAACAAACGAACUGUAUAUGCUGACGUUCGCAGCCCAUUUUCCCUGGGCCCAUAUUUUAUGUGUGUGAGCUGCGGGGUUAACUCCCUUAUUUUCUCAUUUUUGUUCAUUGGCUUCCCAUUUGCUCCUUUUGUCACCACUGGAGGUGCACUCAAUUGAUUAGUUUCAAUUAUUUUUGUUUUGGUUAUCUGAUGUCAUGUUAACUUUAUUUUGAUCAAGUGCCGUUUAUAUUCUGUUUGAAUAAUUCUGAUUAUUUUGUGUACAUUGUUCUUGUUAAAUUGUUUUGAAAUAUUUAUGGCAGCUAAAUUAUUUUGUUAAUUUGGUUAAGUUGUGAACUUGGUCACUGCCCCUUUGUUAAAAGCUUUGUAUUUAUUUUUGUUUAUUGGUGAUUUGAUUAUUUGAGUUCACCCCCAUAAUCGUUUCCCCUCUCCUUUCAGGUGCUGGAAGCUUACGGUGGUGGUCUUGGUGCCCUGGUGGUGGUGUCCCCUUUUGUGUGCUGUGCAACCCCCGGUUUUCAUUUGGUUUCCCCGUUGUGUGUUUGCGUGCGUGAGUGACACGAGUGACUGGGGUGCUACUUUUCCUGGGAUCCCUCUUGCCUCCUCAUUGCCCCAUUCCCCUCCACUGGUAAGCUCCAGCCCUGUUAGUGUCCUCCCUUCCCUUCACAUCUCUGUAAGCAUGGUAUUUUUAUUAGGUAUUUUUAAUAACUUUUGUAAUAAAGCAUAUUGUAUUUUAA
Molecule: long non-coding RNA, 1168 nt
Organism: Epinephelus moara (kelp grouper)
Lineage: Eukaryota; Metazoa; Chordata; Actinopteri; Perciformes; Serranidae
Exons: 2
Source: RefSeq, a predicted model, not a curated record